This 253-nucleotide ribosomal RNA is filed under the name uncultured bacterium. RNAcentral's name for it is "partial 16S ribosomal RNA". It matches the Rfam family "Bacterial small subunit ribosomal RNA", at positions 524 to 776 of the family's 1533-position model. The record is from RNAcentral.
UACGUAGGUGGCAAGCGUUGUCCGGAAUUAUUGGGCGUAAAGCGCGCGCAGGCGGUCCUUUAAGUCUGAUGUGAAAGCCCACGGCUCAACCGUGGAGGGUCAUUGGAAACUGGGGGACUUGAGUACAGAAGAGGAAAGCGGAAUUCCACGUGUAGCGGUGAAAUGCGUAGAGAUGUGGAGGAACACCAGUGGCGAAGGCGGCUUUCUGGUCUGUAACUGACGCUGAGGCGCGAAGGCGUGGGGAGCAAACAGG